This 1114-nucleotide ribosomal RNA is filed under the name Klebsiella oxytoca 10-5248. RNAcentral's name for it is "23S ribosomal RNA". Lineage: Bacteria; Pseudomonadati; Pseudomonadota; Gammaproteobacteria; Enterobacterales; Enterobacteriaceae. The record is from RNAcentral.
GCUACUGUCAACGUGUAGCUGAUAAUGGCCGAUUGCAUCGCAAGCGGUGAACGGUUAAGGCUAUGGGCGAUAGCGGGAAGGGCCGUAUUCAGAAUGGUAGCGUCAAGCGCCUGCAUAAAAAAAGCCAUCGCUGCGAUCCAUGGCAGCCCGGCCAUACUGCGGGCUUUCUUUUUGGUCAUUCGAUACCUUUACUAUUUGUCGGAAUGGUUGGGGGCACUCAACAACGCCUGGCAGGCGCUCAGCGCUCGCAAGCCGUCGCUAUCCAGAAUGGCAUCAACGAUUGCCUGAUGGAGAUCCAGCUUCACCACUUCAUUUUGGGUAAUCGAAGUGAAGUAGGUGUGGUAAACCGAAUGAAAUAAAGAAGCGAAAGAGGUCAGGAAAGGAUUGCCGCUCAUUUCAUAUAUAUGUUCAUGCCAGGCCAUAUCGACCUCAAUCCAGCGCUCGCGCUGAAAGUUCCUCUUUAGCUCAACCAUCUCCUCCAUCAAAGCGUUGAGUUGAGCCUUCUGCUCCGGCGUGCCUGAGGUUGACGCCAGAAAACAGGCUUGGGGCUCCAGGCUUUCGCGCAUAACGAGGAAAUGGCCGACAACUUCAGCGAAAUUAUCUUCCGUUAACCACCAUGCGAGUAGUUCUUUAUCGAGAAAGUUCCAGCUGCUGCGGGGCAUCACCCGCGUUCCGAUCCGUGGACGAGGUAAAAGCAUCCCUUUCGCAGCAAGCGUUUUAACCGCUUCACGCACGGCCGUACGGCUCACGCCAAACUGCUCACCCAGUUCCAUCUCUCCGGGAAGGAUACUUUCUGGCGGGUAUUCCCCGGUCAGGAUUUUUUGAGCUAGUUUCUCCGCUAAUACCCAGGAGAUGUUCUUUUGUGCCGCCAACUGCUGUGCGCUUAAAGACAUAAAUGCCGUUCCUUUCUCUUUUUUACCUUAUCAGUAUGCCAUCUGGCGGCGUGCUUCGUUGGUUAAAACGGCAAAACGCCGCUUUUUUGCUACAUUACACGGCGUAAUGAUGAAAAAAGAGGCGGUUGAAAAGUUUUUUGAAAUUUCCCCUUGUCACUUCGUAAUUACUCCCUAUAAUGCGCUCCCACUGACACGGAACAACGGCUUACAGCCCGCCGGGU